UGGGGAAUUUUGGACAAUGGGCGAAAGCCUGAUCCAGCAAUGCCGCGUGUGUGAAGAAGGCCUUCGGGUUGUAAAGCACUUUUGUCCGGAAAGAAAUCCUUGGCUCUAAUACAGUCGGGGGAUGACGGUACCGGAAGAAUAAGCACCGGCUAACUACGUGCCAGCAGCCGCGGUAAUACGUAGGGUGCAAGCGUUAAUCGGAAUUACUGGGCGUAAAGCGUGCGCAGGCGGUUUGCUAAGACCGAUGUGAAAUCCCCGGGCUCAACCUGGGAACUGCAUUGGUGACUGGCAGGCUAGAGUAUGGCAGAGGGGGGUAGAAUUCCACGUGUAGCAGUGAAAUGCGUAGAGAUGUGGAGGAAUACCGAUGGCGAAGGCAGCCCCCUGGGCAAUACUGACGCUCAUGCACAAAAGCGUGGGGAGCAAACAGGAUUAGAUACCCUGGUAGUCCACGCCCUAAACGAUGUCAACUAGUUGUUGGGGAUUCAUUUCCUUAGUAACGUAGCUAACGCGUGAAGUUGACCGCCUGGGGAGUACGGUCGCAAGAUUAAAACUUAAAUGAAUUGACGGGGUCAUAGCUG
This 578-nucleotide ribosomal RNA is filed under the name uncultured bacterium. RNAcentral describes it as "partial 16S ribosomal RNA". It matches the Rfam family "Bacterial small subunit ribosomal RNA", at positions 355 to 932 of the family's 1533-position model. The record is from RNAcentral.